Molecule: long non-coding RNA, 607 nt
Organism: Rhipicephalus sanguineus (brown dog tick)
Lineage: Eukaryota; Metazoa; Arthropoda; Arachnida; Ixodida; Ixodidae
Exons: 3
Source: RefSeq, a predicted model, not a curated record
CGCCUGUUGCGCCUUGGCCAUGGCGCGCGGGCGCACUGCGGAGCCACCGAAUGGAGGGUUGUAGCGCGCGCCGCUUGGAUGCCUUGCCGCUGCAGGCAAACAGACGAAGCCGCGCCGGCCGCAAGGGCAGCGCGCCGCGCGCAUCGCCCCGCCGUACGCCGCUGCUGAAGCGCGCUCGCUCGCUCUCACGCCGCCGUUGGCUCCCGCGUCUCGGAGUUAAACCGUCGACGCCGGGGGCAGCCAGCCAGCCAGCCCUGGCCGCUGCUGCUGCUACUGCUACUGCUGCAAGAGCCGGGCAAGUCCAUCCUCGUCGCCGUCGAACCGCGGAGCAAGCGUUUUGUCGCAGGGCGCACUACGUCGACCGUGUCCUGGCAUGCUGCAUCGGGCAACAUUGCUUCAGGGACGUGAGUCCUGCUGAUUGAACAUCAUCGCUGCUGGCUACCGACGCUAAACGUUGCAGUGCCCUGGACGUGGAGGCGUACAGGACGGCGCGAUGUGUGCUGCCGCCCUGUGGGCGGCGGCGCUCCUCACCGUGCUGUCGACUGCGCUGCUUUUGCAGACGACGCUGCUGCUACCGGCCGCGACGCAGGCAUCGGCGAAUUUUGUG